AAUAAGAUUAUUAUUAUUAUUUUUAUCUCCCAAUAAUUACAUGGAAUAUUUGAAAUUCAAGCACUCCCUAGAUGACUCAGCUUGGAGACUAGCAAAACCAAUAAUCAACAUAAAACUAGUCGGAUUUAAGGCACUCUUCGCACGAAGAUGGACAAAUUGUAGAUGAUUAAGAAAUUACCUUAAAUUUAUACCAUUUAAACAUGUCAUCUUAUUUCUCGAAUCAUCCUAAGACUUACAAAGUCUCCUAUAACUUAAGCAUAAGUCACAUAAUACUUAUAAUUUAGUCCCUAUUAAUCGAUUUCAAGCAUAUACCACUUCUGUAUCUUAGCCGCAUAACAUUUAUAUUUUAGUUUCUAUUUGUAAUGGCCCAAAUUUGCUGCCCAAAUAAACCAAAAAAAAAAACAUAAAUUAAACAAAAUUAUAACAGUCCCUUAAAUACUUUAGUCCAAUUACAAAAAACCAGUAGCCCCAUAGCCCAAAUAUAAGGGCCCACUAACUGGAACAGACCCAAACAGCCUUAAAUCGAUGCUCAGCUUUGGCAAACCCUAGGACAAAAGGGGUCCUCGAGUCGCAGCAACCUCAGCAGCCUCCAGGCACCGUACACUCCUCCUGGCGCCACGCACGCUCCCGUACAUACGCCAGCACCACCCCGUACGCCCCGCACCAAUUUGCCAGCGCAUGUCCUCUGCUCCGUACCUGCGAACAAGACAAACACAGCAACAAACAGAGACAAAAGAGAAAAUAUUAUUUUUCUUUUAUUUGUUUUUCUUUCGUUUCGGAUAUAAAGCCAGAAAAUGUUCAUUGUAAUGAAAAAAGGGGCGCAUUUACGCAACAAAAAUAUACAAACAGAUACUAUAAAGAGAGAUUUUUUUUACGAACACAAGCAAUACGAAUACUUACAAAAAAAAGCAGAGGUGAUUUCUUUUCUUCCUCGAAUCCUCUUAGUUUUCCAUAUAUCAUUGCGUUUUUGGUUUAGGGGUCAUUCACCAUUAUCGUUUUGAAAAUAAAGAGAUGAACAAAGGAACGGUGAAAGAGGAGCUUACCUUGCGAAGCUAGCCGUCGUCCCCCCUUUUACUUCGUCGAAAUCGAAGUCUGAAUGAGGGUUUCAAAGGCGAAAACCCCUCUUUUAGGGCUCGGAUGCGCAGACCGUCGCUCGUACUGACGAAUUAGUGCUAAAAGGAGCAUUUGGAGGUCGAUUGAGCAACGAGAGAGGGGAAGGGGCUAGGGUUCGGCUGAAUAACUCAGUCUUCAGCCCUUUUAAAGGGUUAAAAGCGAUGCCGUUUCAAGCCCAUUACAAUGGCUCAAAAACGACGUCGUCGGAUGGAGCCUCGAUCUGAUCCGUUUAGCUGCCCCGACGACCCGCGCGUUUUCGCGAAGAGGGUUUAUUUACAGCAUCGGUCCCUCCCUGUUGCACCAUGUUUCAUUUGGCUCUUAUUUAUUUUUUUAUUUUUAUUAAUUUAGCUAUGUAAUUUAUACACGUUUGCAAAUGGACCGGCGCUUGAAUACAGCCUUUUAGGAUCUGGUAUAUUGUCAGUUUUAGUCCCUAGCUGUUUCCGCGCAUGGACUAUUGGUCCCUCCACUGUUUUUGUUUAGUUUCAAUUUUACCUUGUGUGUUUUAGUUUAAUUUUAAUUAGGUCUUUUAUUUUAUAACUUUAUAAUUUCUUUUAUUUACUUACUAGUAUAUUUUCAAGCAGCUAUGACAGUCUUUUUAGUGUUAUAAAUUUGUUUUUUUUGUAAGAUUAUUAUCAUACUUCGUAUAUCUUGAAUGUUUAUUUCUUUAGUGUUAUUAGGCAUAUAUAUGUUUUACAAAAAAUCCUAAUGC
This 1822-nucleotide long non-coding RNA is filed under the name Gossypium barbadense (sea-island cotton). RNAcentral describes it as "long non-coding RNA (GBAR_LNC013049)". Lineage: Eukaryota; Viridiplantae; Streptophyta; Magnoliopsida; Malvales; Malvaceae. The record is from RNAcentral.